CAUUGUCUACUCCAAAAAUCGUCAAUUUAAAUAAUUUACAGAAUACGUUAUUUAGUUAGUGCUUCAUUUUUAUUACUAACCGUUUUUAGAGAGUGUCUCACAUAUAAUCAUAUAAGUAUGUAAUAUAUGUUCUAAUGUAAAAAACUUUAUGAGCAAAUGUGAAACUACAAAUACCGAUUCUAAUUAUAAUGAAAGAAUACUAAAAAAGAACAGUAUGCGUGAUAGUUAAAGUUAUUUUCCAAUAAAAUUAUUAGCCAAAAAAAAUUUUUUAAGCCCUAUAUACCUAUGUGGUUUAUCGACUAAAGCACAUUUCUGCUUCUAGUGGUAAAGCUUUAAGUAAAUACCCUCGAAACGACUGUAAGUUCUAUUGAACUGUCGAUCUACAUCCAAAAGAUCGUAAGUCCUUGUUCAAAAUUUGAUUGUUGAAAUCUAAAAUUUGAAGCUGCGGACUUCUGUAUUAAUGCGACCGCCCCGAUAACUACCACGUUUUUUCUUAUUUUUUUCCUGACGAAAACCCUUACCACGUGUGACAAUAAGAUCCCGAUUUGCUAAUGUACCGUAAUCAUCUUCGAAGUUAAACGAGUUGUCUCGUAAAGCAGGUGAGGCAAAGUCCCACUGUGAAGGAUCACCUACUCUUGUAAAAGGCGUCUUCGUAGUCCGAGAAGAUUUAGUUGAAGUUGACGAUUCGUCAUCUUCAUGUUUUCUCUUUAAACUUUUGUCAUGUAUUUUAGAGGAAUCCUCAUCUUUAACGCUAGUAGAUUCUUCGGACGAAGUUGAGUUGGUACUAGACUGAGCACUGACUUCACCUGAAGUAGUAGUAUCAGUAUUCGAAUUACCAUCUUCAGAAGAAGAUGAACUAUCUGAAUCAGAUGAGGAAGAGGUUGAGUCACUGUCUUCUGAAGAAGAUUCACUUUCGGAGUCAGAGGAAUCAGAAGAUGAGUCGUCUUCUGAAUCAGACGAGUU
This is a non-coding RNA of Schizosaccharomyces pombe (fission yeast), 963 nucleotides long. Lineage: Eukaryota; Fungi; Ascomycota; Schizosaccharomycetes; Schizosaccharomycetales; Schizosaccharomycetaceae. The record is from the annotation of a GenBank genome assembly.